This 259-nucleotide ribosomal RNA is filed under the name uncultured Prevotella sp. RNAcentral's name for it is "partial 16S ribosomal RNA". The record is from RNAcentral. Lineage: Bacteria; Pseudomonadati; Bacteroidota; Bacteroidia; Bacteroidales; Prevotellaceae.
GGAGUUUGGUCCGUGUCUCAGUACCAAUGUGGGGGACCUUCCUCUCAGAACCCCUACUGAUCGACGGCUUGGUGGGCCGUUACCCCGCCAACAACCUAAUCAGACGCAUCCCCAUCCCAUAGCGAUAAAUCUUUGCUCCAUCUCAGAUGCCCUCAAAGGAGAACAUAGGGCAUUAAUCCGACUUUCGCCGGGCUAUUCCCUACUAUGGGGAAGGUUGGAUACGCGUUACUCACCCGUGCGCCGGUCGCCAUCAAUUGGU